UACGUAGGCAGCGAGCGUUGUUCGGAGUUACUGGGCGUAAAGCGUGCGUAGGCGGUUUUGUAAGUUUGGUGUGAAAUCUCCCGGCUUAACUGGGAGGGUGCGCCGAAAACUGCAAGGCUGGAGUGUGGGAGAGGUAGGCGGAAUUCCUGGUGUAGCGGUGAAAUGCGCAGAUAUCAGGAGGAACACCAAUUGCGAAGGCAGCUCGCUGGGACGUUACUGACGCUGAGACGCGAAAGCGUGGGGAGCAAACAGG
This 253-nucleotide ribosomal RNA is filed under the name uncultured bacterium. RNAcentral describes it as "partial 16S ribosomal RNA". It matches the Rfam family "Bacterial small subunit ribosomal RNA", at positions 524 to 776 of the family's 1533-position model. The record is from RNAcentral.